AGCCUCUGGCAAUGGACAAAGAGACACCUUGUUGGUAUUGGUGUUCUUAUAUCAGUCAGGGGCAGAGCAGAUGGGAGUCCUUUGUUUAUCCUAGCUGGAUGCCUGGCUCAGUGGCCAAAACUGUCCUAUGCCUAGGACUUAUAA
Acomys russatus (golden spiny mouse) is the source of this 144-nucleotide small nucleolar RNA. RefSeq annotates it as small nucleolar RNA SNORA48. The transcript has a single exon. NCBI's taxonomy places the organism in Eukaryota, Metazoa, Chordata, Mammalia, Rodentia, Muridae. The record is from RefSeq and is a predicted model, not a curated record.